AAUAUUGCACAAUGGGCGAAAGCCUGAUGCAGCGACGCCGCGUGAGGGAUGACGGCCUUCGGGUUGUAAACCUCUUUCAGCAGGGACGAAGCGCAAGUGACGGUACCUGCAGAAGAAGCACCGGCUAACUACGUGCCAGCAGCCGCGGUAAUACGUAGGGUGCAAGCGUUGUCCGGAAUUACUGGGCGUAAAGAGUUCGUAGGCGGUUUGUCGCGUCGUUUGUGAAAACCAGCAGCUCAACUGCUGGCUUGCAGGCGAUACGGGCAGACUUGAGUACUGCAGGGGAGACUGGAAUUCCUGGUGUAGCGGUGAAAUGCGCAGAUAUCAGGAGGAACACCGGUGGCGAAGGCGGGUCUCUGGGCAGUAACUGACGCUGAGGAACGAAAGCGUGGGUAGCGAACAGGAUUAGAUACCCUGGUAGUCCACGCCGUAAACGGUGGGCGCUAGGUGUGGGUUCCUUCCACGGAAUCCGUGCCGUAGCUAACGCAUUAAGCGCCCCGCCUGGGGAGUACGGCCGCAAGGCUAAAACUCAAAGGAAUUGACGGGG
Molecule: ribosomal RNA, 547 nt
Filed under: Rhodococcus erythropolis
Lineage: Bacteria; Bacillati; Actinomycetota; Actinomycetes; Mycobacteriales; Nocardiaceae
Description: bacterial SSU rRNA
Rfam family: Bacterial small subunit ribosomal RNA
Source: RNAcentral